This 766-nucleotide ribosomal RNA is filed under the name uncultured Caryophanaceae bacterium. Its description in RNAcentral is "bacterial SSU rRNA". It matches the Rfam family "Bacterial small subunit ribosomal RNA", at positions 28 to 776 of the family's 1533-position model. The record is from RNAcentral. Lineage: Bacteria; Bacillati; Bacillota; Bacilli; Caryophanales; Caryophanaceae.
GAUGAACGCUGGCGGCGUGCCUAAUACAUGCAAGUCGAGCGAACAGAUAAGGAGCUUGCUCCUUUGACGUUAGCGGCGGACGGGUGAGUAACACGUGGGUAACCUACCUAUAAGACUGGGAUAACUUCGGGAAACCGGAGCUAAUACCGGAUAACAUUUGGAACCGCAUAGUUCUAAAGUGAAAGAUGGUUUUGCUAUCACUUAUAGAUGGACCCGCGCCGUAUUAGCUAGUUGGUAAGGUAACGGCUUACCAAGGCGACGAUACGUAGCCGACCUGAGAGGGUGAUCGGCCACACUGGAACUGAGACACGGUCCAGACUCCUACGGGAGGCAGCAGUAGGGAAUCUUCCGCAAUGGGCGAAAGCCUGACGGAGCAACGCCGCGUGAGUGAUGAAGGGUUUCGGCUCGUAAAACUCUGUUAUUAGGGAAGAACAAACGUGUAAGUAACUGUGCACGUCUUGACGGUACCUAAUCAGAAAGCCACGGCUAACUACGUGCCAGCAGCCGCGGUAAUACGUAGGUGGCAAGCGUUAUCCGGAAUUAUUGGGCGUAAAGCGCGCGUAGGCGGUUUCUUAAGUCUGAUGUGAAAGCCCACGGCUCAACCGUGGAGGGUCAUUGGAAACUGGGAAACUUGAGUGCAGAAGAGGAAAGUGGAAUUCCAUGUGUAGCGGUGAAAUGCGCAGAGAUAUGGAGGAACACCAGUGGCGAAGGCGACUUUCUGGUCUGUAACUGACGCUGAUGUGCGAAAGCGUGGGGAUCAAACAGG